UACGGGAGGCAGCAGUGGGGAAUAUUGCACAAUGGGCGCAAGCCUGAUGCAGCGACGCCGCGUGAGGGAUGAAUGCCUUCGGGUUGUAAACCUCUUUCAGCAGGGAAGAAGCGAAAGUGACGGUACCUGCAGAAGAAGCGCCGGCUAACUACGUGCCAGCAGCCGCGGUAAUACGUAGGGUGCGAGCGUUGUCCGGAAUUAUUGGGCGUAAAGAGCUCGUAGGCGGCUUGUCGCGUCGGAUGUGAAAGCCCGGGGCUUAACCCCGGGUCUGCAUUCGAUACGGGCAGGCUAGAGUUCGGUAGGGGAGAUCGGAAUUCCUGGUGUAGCGGUGAAAUGCGCAGAUAUCAGGAGGAACACCGGUGGCGAAGGCGGAUCUCUGGGCCGAUACUGACGCUGAGGAGCGAAAGCGUGGGGAGCGAACAGGAUUAGAUACCCUGGUAGUCCACGCCGUAAACGUUGGGAACUAGGUGUGGGCCACAUUCCACGUGGUCCGUGCCGCAGCUAACGCAUUAAGUUCCCCGCCUGGGGAGUACGGCCGCAAGGCUAAAACUCAAAGGAAUUGACGG
RNAcentral lists this ribosomal RNA (566 nucleotides) under uncultured bacterium. RNAcentral's name for it is "bacterial SSU rRNA". It matches the Rfam family "Bacterial small subunit ribosomal RNA", at positions 340 to 916 of the family's 1533-position model. The record is from RNAcentral.